This 460-nucleotide ribosomal RNA is filed under the name uncultured bacterium. RNAcentral describes it as "partial 16S ribosomal RNA". It matches the Rfam family "Bacterial small subunit ribosomal RNA", at positions 338 to 795 of the family's 1533-position model. The record is from RNAcentral.
CCUACGGGGGGCUGCAGUGAGGAAUAUUGGUCAAUGGACGAGAGUCUGAACCAGCCAAGUAGCGUGAAGGAUGACUGCCCUAUGGGUUGUAAACUUCUUUUAUAAAGGAAUAAAACGAGGCACGUGUGCCUUUUUGCAUGUACUUUAUGAAUAAGGAUCGGCUAACUCCGUGCCAGCAGCCGCGGUAAUACGGAGGAUCCGAGCGUUAUCCGGAUUUAUUGGGUUUAAAUGGAGCGUAGAUGGGUUGUUAAGUCAGUUGUGAAAGUUUGCGGCUCAACCGUAAAAUUGCAAUUGAUACUGGCAGUCUUGAGUACAGUUGAGGUAGGCGGAAUUCGUGGUGUAGCGGUGAAAUGCUUAGAUAUCACGAAGAACCCCGAUUGCGAAGGCAGCUUACUAAACUGUGACUGACAUUGAUGCUCGAAAGUGUGGGUAUCGAACAGGAUUAGAUACCCUUGUAGUC